UACGGGGGGAGCAAGCGUUGUUCGGAUUUACUGGGCGUAAAGGGCGCGUAGGCGGUCAGCACAAGUCAGUUGUGAAAUCUCCGGGCUUAACUCGGAAAGGUCAACUGAUACUGUGCGACUAGAGUGCAGAAGGGGCAACUGGAAUUCUUGGUGUAGCAGUGAAAUGCGUAGAUAUCAAGUGGAACACCAGUGGCGAAGGCGAAUCCCUGGAAAAUACCUGACACUGAGGCACGAAAGCUAGGGGAGCAAACAGG
RNAcentral lists this ribosomal RNA (254 nucleotides) under uncultured prokaryote. RNAcentral describes it as "partial 16S ribosomal RNA". It matches the Rfam family "Bacterial small subunit ribosomal RNA", at positions 524 to 776 of the family's 1533-position model. The record is from RNAcentral.